Thermothielavioides terrestris NRRL 8126 is the source of this 74-nucleotide non-coding RNA. The record is from the annotation of a RefSeq genome assembly. NCBI's taxonomy places the organism in Eukaryota, Fungi, Ascomycota, Sordariomycetes, Sordariales, Chaetomiaceae.
GGUCGGAUGGUGUAGUUGGUCAUCACGUCAGUCUAACACACUGAAGGUCCCCGGUUCAAACCCGGGUCCGAUCA